Molecule: non-coding RNA, 81 nt
Organism: Glycine max (soybean)
Lineage: Eukaryota; Viridiplantae; Streptophyta; Magnoliopsida; Fabales; Fabaceae
Source: Rfam
GUCUUGGUGGUGAAAUGAUAGACAUGCGAGACUCAAAAUCCCGUGCUAGAGAGCGUGGAGGUUCAAGUCCUAUUCAAGACA